AUAAGUCCCAAAUUGGAGGUUGUGGCUCCGACCAUGGCCCUCCGACGUUCAAGUCAAAAAAGCAAAGAAUAAAAGAGCAGGAACAGGUUCUCUGAAAGAGAUUUGAUUUGACUUACUUGGGUCCUCGAGGCUCUAGUUGUUUAUAAAGAAAGAUGUUGGAUAGUUGGAUUAUUAGCUGUGAGAUCGCAUGAUCCCAAGAUUAUCGGAUCACUAGAUAUGCCAAACUGGAUGAGAUAAUUCAGUCCUUAAACGCUCCUGUG
RNAcentral lists this long non-coding RNA (260 nucleotides) under Elaeis guineensis (African oil palm). RNAcentral describes it as "long non-coding RNA (EGUI_LNC040479)". The record is from RNAcentral. Lineage: Eukaryota; Viridiplantae; Streptophyta; Magnoliopsida; Arecales; Arecaceae.